AUACGUAGGGAGCGAGCGUUGUCCGGAAUUACUGGGCGUAAAGAGCUCGUAGGUGGUUUGUCGCGUCGACUGUGAAAUUCCGGGGCUUAACUCCGGGCGUGCAGGCGAUACGGGCAUAACUUGAGUACUGUAGGGGAGACUGGAAUUCCUGGUGUAGCGGUGAAAUGCGCAGAUAUCAGGAGGAACACCGGGGGCGAAGGCGGGUCUCUGGGCAGUAACUGACGCUGAGGAGCGAAAGCAUGGGUAGCGAACAGGAUUAGAUCCCCUGGUAGUCCAUGCCGUAAACGGUGGGCGCUAGGUGUAGGGGUCUUCCACGACUUCUGUGCCGUAGCUAACGCAUUAAGCGCCCCGCCUGGGGAGUACGGCCGCAAGGCUAAAACUCAAAGGAAUUGACGGGG
RNAcentral lists this ribosomal RNA (398 nucleotides) under uncultured bacterium. RNAcentral's name for it is "partial 16S ribosomal RNA". It matches the Rfam family "Bacterial small subunit ribosomal RNA", at positions 523 to 918 of the family's 1533-position model. The record is from RNAcentral.